UGGGGAAUAUUGGACAAUGGGCGCAAGCCUGAUCCAGCCAUGCCGCGUGAGUGACGAAGGUCUUCGGAUUGUAAAACUCUUUUGGCGGGGACGAUAAUGACGGUACCCGCAGAAUAAGCCCCGGCUAACUUCGUGCCAGCAGCCGCGGUAAUACGAAGGGGGCUAGCGUUGUUCGGAAUCACUGGGCGUAAAGCGCACGUAGGCGGAUGUGCCAGUCAGGGGUGAAAUCCCGGAGCUCAACUCCGGAACUGCCUCUGAUACUGCACGUCUUGAGUUCGAGAGAGGUGGGUGGAAUUCCUAGUGUAGAGGUGAAAUUCGUAGAUAUUAGGAAGAACACCGGUGGCGAAGGCGGCCCACUGGACUGAUACUGACACUGAGGUGCGAAAGCGUGGGGAGCAAACAGGAUUAGAUACCCUAGUAGUCCCUGAGCGGGCUGGCAAGGCGCAU
Molecule: ribosomal RNA, 447 nt
Filed under: uncultured bacterium
Lineage: Bacteria
Description: bacterial SSU rRNA
Rfam family: Bacterial small subunit ribosomal RNA
Source: RNAcentral